This 140-nucleotide unclassified non-coding RNA is filed under the name soil metagenome. RNAcentral describes it as "partial internal transcribed spacer 1". The record is from RNAcentral.
CCUAGAGUUGUAGGCUUUGCCUGCUAUCUCUUACCCAUGUCUUUUGAGUACCUUACGUUUCCUCGGUGGGUCCGCCCACCGAUUGGACAAAUUUAAACCCUUUGCAGUUGAAAUCAGCGUCUGAAAAAACUUAAUAGUUA